Molecule: ribosomal RNA, 540 nt
Filed under: Cerinomyces canadensis
Lineage: Eukaryota; Fungi; Basidiomycota; Dacrymycetes; Dacrymycetales; Cerinomycetaceae
Description: eukaryotic LSU rRNA
Rfam family: Eukaryotic large subunit ribosomal RNA
Source: RNAcentral
AACUAACAAGGAUUCCCCUAGUAACUGCGAGUGAAGCGGGAAGAGCUCAAAUUUGUAAUCUGCCUUUUGGCCGAGUUGUAAUCUGGAGAAGCGUUAUCAGGCGCCGACCGCAUUAAAGUCUCUUGGAACAGGGCGUCACAGAGGGUGAGAAUCCCGUGAGUAAUGCGGCUGCGGCGUUGUAGAGGCGCUCUCGAUGAGUCGAGUUGUUUGGGAAUGCAGCUCAAANUGGGUGGUAAACUCCAUCUAAAGCUAAAUAUUGGCGAGAGACCGAUAGCGAACAAGUACCGUGAGGGAAAGAUGAAAAGGACUUUGGAAAGAGAGUUAAAGAGUACGUGAAAUUGCUGAAAGGGAAGCGCUUGAAGUGAGUCGCGCGGGCAGGAUUCAGCUUUGCGUAUUUCCUGCCUGUGGGCCAGCAUCGACGUGGCGGCGGACAAGGGCGGUGGGAAUGUGGCACCUUCGGGUGUGUUAUAGCCCGCUGUCGUACACGCUGCCUUACGUCGAGGACUGCUUAUAGGAUGCUGGCGUAAUGGCUUUAAGCGA